AUGAACGCUAGCGACAGGCCUAACACAUGCAAGUCGAGGGGCAGCACAGGAGCAAUCUGAGGCGGCGACCGGCGCACGGGUGAGUAACACGUAUGCAACCUGCCUGUAAGCGGGGAAUAACCCGUUGAAAGACGGACUAAUACCGCAUAAUACUAAAUUACUGCAUGGUAAUUUAUUUAAACAUUUAUGGCUUACAGAUGGGCAUGCGCAUGAUUAGCUAGUUGGAGAGGUAACGACUCCCCAAGGCAACGAUCAUUAGGGGUUCUGAGAGGAAGGUCCCCCCACACUGGUACUGAGACACGGACCAGACUCCUACGGGAGGCAGCAGUGAGGAAUAUUGGUCAAUGGACGAGAGUCUGAACCAGCCAAGUCGCGUGCAGGAAGAAUUGUCCUAUGGAUUGUAAACUGCUUUUGCAGGGGAAUAAAGUGCAUCACGUGUGAUGUUUUGUAUGUACUCUGCGAAUAAGGAUCGGCUAACUCCGUGCCAGCCGCUGC
RNAcentral lists this ribosomal RNA (495 nucleotides) under uncultured bacterium. Its description in RNAcentral is "bacterial SSU rRNA". It matches the Rfam family "Bacterial small subunit ribosomal RNA", at positions 29 to 518 of the family's 1533-position model. The record is from RNAcentral.